RNAcentral lists this signal recognition particle RNA (273 nucleotides) under Candidatus Woesearchaeota archaeon. Its description in RNAcentral is "signal recognition particle sRNA". It matches the Rfam family "Archaeal signal recognition particle RNA". The record is from RNAcentral. Lineage: Archaea; Nanobdellati; Candidatus Woesearchaeota.
UUGCAGGAUAAGCUGGCAGGCUAGUCCCCUGUUGUUAUCACAAGUGGACUUAUGGUGAAGCUGAAGCCAUUGGAGAGGCUAAAAGGUUUAUCUUUGGUCCUAAUCAGGACUUUGAUACUCUGUCCUGUUUGAUCGGCUUAUUUGAGAACUUGGUCAGGGCAGGAAUGCAGCAGCCAUAAUCAUUUAUACUGGUGCUUUCAGGGUAGCGGAGUUGAGAAAUGAUUAGGAGUGCUAAAUUUAGGCUGUUUAGUCCAUUCUUUGGCGCUCCUGCUU